GAGAAGGAAAAGCGGGCAGACUGGGUGUUUGUGGAUUCAAUGUGAAGACGGUGGUAAAACAUGCAGGAGUCAUCCGAGGUAAGUCCCGCACACAGUG
Molecule: long non-coding RNA, 97 nt
Filed under: Cottoperca gobio
Lineage: Eukaryota; Metazoa; Chordata; Actinopteri; Perciformes; Bovichtidae
Description: lncRNA (ENSCGOG00000009703.1)
Source: RNAcentral